This is a long non-coding RNA of Triticum dicoccoides, 977 nucleotides long. RefSeq lists it as uncharacterized. NCBI's taxonomy places the organism in Eukaryota, Viridiplantae, Streptophyta, Magnoliopsida, Poales, Poaceae. The record is from RefSeq and is a predicted model, not a curated record. The transcript is spliced from 2 exons.
GGCCAUUGUCCAUCUCCAGAGAAGCGCAAGGCCAUUGUCCAUCUCCAGAGAAGCGCAAGGCCAAUAGCCCACUAGAUAAGGCUAUCGAGGAGCCGUCUGAAAUAGAUGUACUUACUGCGUUAUUUGAAAUGAAUGGAUAUCUUGUUGACACAGUUUUGGGAUAAAAUAAAACAGAUUAAGUGAUGGGUGUCAGGCUCUAUGGUGUGUUUGACUACAACACUACUGAUGUCGCACAAUCUGCCGGGGAUGAAGUGGCAGAUGCCAUCGCAAGUGUUUGCACAUGAUGCAGUAAUAGACAAAGCAUAUCAAGGUGCAGUGUCCUAGGCUCCUAGGUGUUCAAAGGUUCAUGCAUAUCCAAGUGUUCUUGACCCAUGAAGUAGCAGACUAGCAGCCACGUACAUGUUCACUCUGCAUGGAGAUUCAGUAUGCAUAUAUCAAGAAAAUAUAUUAGACAGUGUUAUUCCCAUUUUCUGGCAACAAGCAGAGUGACUGCUAAGCUCUUCAGCAUGUCCGCAGUCAAUCUGGUAGCAAAAGCAGUUGCAAAGGAAAGUUGACUACAUUGACAAAAAAAUAGAUGUUUGCUUUAUUCUAUUAUGCAGAACUAUACUACAUUAUAUCUUUAGACUGGGACACUGAUGUAUAGACCAUCAUUUUUUAGUACUUAGAAGGGGUUCAUGGCAAAAGAUAAAUUUCAGAUGUACAUGGUAUAACUUUCACCUUUGAGGUUCUUCAGGACAUGUUCUAUUUGAUGUUCUUCAGGAGAGGUUCAAGAUUACAUUCAAGGAGAGAAUGUAGCCAUAGUGACAUUCAUGAAGUGAAGCAACUGCCAGCAUUGUAGGAGAGGUGUAGUCGGGGCUGUCAUACCAUGUAAAUCAGUGAGCUACUCUUUGUAGAGUUGCUACGAAAUUUAUGUUAAUUUCCUGCGGAUGAAUAAGUUCCUAAUAUUGUUUUAAUGAAUUUCUAUUUCGUGUUGUCUA